Terrapene triunguis (Three-toed box turtle) is the source of this 194-nucleotide small nuclear RNA. Its record names the gene U2. It matches the Rfam family "U2 spliceosomal RNA". From Rfam's summary of the family: U2 is a small nuclear RNA (snRNA) component of the spliceosome (involved in pre-mRNA splicing). Complementary binding between U2 snRNA (in an area lying towards the 5' end but 3' to hairpin I) and the branchpoint sequence (BPS) of the intron results the bulging out of an unpaired adenosine, on the BPS, which initiates a nucleophilic attack at the intronic 5' splice site, thus starting the first of two transesterification reactions that mediate splicing. NCBI's taxonomy places the organism in Eukaryota, Metazoa, Chordata, Testudines, Emydidae. The record is from Ensembl.
UUUGCUUCUCGGCUCUUUGAGCUAGGAUCAAGCGUAGUACCUGUUCUUAUCAGUUUAAAGCAACUGGUUAUAAUAAGUUACACAAUCUUAAUAUGUGGUGCUACCCAGCUUCACCUACAAUAAUCUAACUCUUAAAAGAUGAUUGGGAAGAGUCUUGUCAUGUAGUGCUAUACUGUCAGACUCGAGAACUUAAU